Molecule: ribosomal RNA, 404 nt
Filed under: uncultured bacterium
Lineage: Bacteria
Description: bacterial SSU rRNA
Rfam family: Bacterial small subunit ribosomal RNA
Source: RNAcentral
UCGGGAAUAUUGCCCAAUGGUCGAAAGACUGAGGCAGCAACGCCGCGUGCGCGAUGAAGGCCUUCGGGUCGUAAAGCGCUUUUCGGGUGGAUGAGGAAGGACAGUACACCCGGAAUAAGGAACGGCUAACUACGUGCCAGCAGCCGCGGUAAAACGUAGGUUCCGAGCGUUAUCCGGAUUUACUGGGCGUAAAGCGCGUUCAGGCGGUUUGGCAAGUCGGGCAUGAAAUCUCUCGGCUCAACCGGGAGAGGUUGUCCGAUACUGCUGGACUUGAGGGCAGUAGAGGGUGGUGGAAUUCCGGGUGUAGUGGUGAAAUGCGUAGAUAUCCGGAGGAACACCAGUGGCGAAAGCGGCCACCUGGACUGCACCUGACGCUGACACGCGAAAGCUAGGGGAGCGAACGG